CGGUCCUACAGUGUCUGACUGGAACAGUAUCACCAUCCCCCUUCUUGGGAGACGGUACAAGCCGACCCGUACGGAUAAUGCCGGACAGGUGAAAGUGUCCUGGUUAAAAACGGAAUUUCAAAAUUUUGAAAAUGUGCUCGCACCAGGUGGACAGGAGCAGGUCGACUGGGCCGUUAGAGCCUAUCUUUUGAUUGUCAUAUGGUCCUUGUGUUUCCCGGAUUUGAACAGCGGUAAGAUUGGACUGAGGAUCCUCCCGUUACUGGAAGACUUGACUAGAGUGCGGACCUACAGCUGGGGAUCGGCGACUCUCGCACAUCUAUAUCACGAGAUGUGCUUGUCCACUUUGAUUUCAGAGCACAGAAAGAACAUUGGGGGGGCCAUUUGGCUACUGUAGCUGUGGGCAUUCGAGCGACUCAGGCCGUUGAGGCCGAGGUUGAGAGGCGGUCUCAUCCAGCAGCACUUACCGUUGGGGGACAGAUGGGCAGGUCACCUCAAUUUUCAGGACGUUCCUAGACAAAACUUGGCGGCCAUGAGAUUAGCACUUGAUGAGAUGCGCUAUUCAGAUAUCGAUUGGCAGCCAUACUCCGAUC
This is a long non-coding RNA of Mercurialis annua (annual mercury), 590 nucleotides long. RefSeq lists it as uncharacterized. Lineage: Eukaryota; Viridiplantae; Streptophyta; Magnoliopsida; Malpighiales; Euphorbiaceae. The transcript has 3 exons. The record is from RefSeq and is a predicted model, not a curated record.